Molecule: transfer RNA, 149 nt
Filed under: Sphingobacterium sp. ML3W
Lineage: Bacteria; Pseudomonadati; Bacteroidota; Sphingobacteriia; Sphingobacteriales; Sphingobacteriaceae
Description: tRNA-OTHER
Rfam family: tRNA
About the family: Transfer RNA (tRNA) molecules are approximately 80 nucleotides in length.
Source: RNAcentral
GGCGAGGUGGCGGAAUGGUAGACGCUGAAAGCAAUAGAUCGUAACGUUUGGGAUCAUACACCCAUGGGAUUCUAAUUUGACACAACGAAAUCCGAAGAUGUGUAGUAGGAUGGUUUUUGUUGGCGCAGGUUCGAUUCCUGCCCUCGCUA